UCAAGCUAAUAAGAGCGCAGGGUGGAUGCCUUGGCACUAAGAGCCGAUGAAAGACGUGAUAAGCUGCGAAAAGCUUCGGGGAGGAGCAAAUAUCCUUUGAUCCGGAGAUAUCUGAAUGGGGAAACCCGGCUGAGUAAUCCUCAGUCACUGUAUGGUAAAUACAUAGCCAUACAGAGGGAACCCGGUGAACUGAAACAUCUAAGUAGCCGGAGGAAGAGAAAGAAACAUCGAUUCCGGAAGUAGCGGCGAGCGAACCCGGAAGAGCCCAAACCAGCGUGCGUGCAUGCUGGGGUUAAGGACUGCAUAAGUGAGCCGAUCUGUUAAUGGAACUGCCUGGGAAGGCAGGCCAGAGAGGGUGAAAGCCCCGUACAUGAAAACGGUAGGCAGCGGCAGGAUCCAGAGUACCGCGAGACACGAGAAACCUUGCGGGAAGUCGGAGGGACCACCCUCCAAGGCUAAAUACUCCUUAGUGACCGAUAGCGCAUAGUACUGUGAAGGAAAGGUGAAAAGGACCCCGGGAGGGGAGUGAAAGAGAACCUGAAACCAUAUGUUUACAAGCUGUGGAACAUCUUUAUAUGAUGAACCGCGUACUUUUUGUAGAACGGUCCGGCGAGUUACGCUGGCUGGCGAGGUUAAGGGCUGAAGGCCCGGAGCCGAAGGGAAACCAAGUCUGAACAGGGCGAAAUAGUCAGUCGGAGUAGACCCGAAACCGGGUGAUCUAUCCAUGUCCAGGUUGAAGUUGCCGUAAAAGGCAAUGGAGGACCGAACCCACAUCCGUUGAAAAGGGUGGGGAUGAGGUGUGGAUAGGGGAGAAAUUCCAAUCGAACCCGGAGAUAGCUGGUUCUCCUCGAAAUAGCUUUAGGGCUAGCCCCGUAUUAGUUUAGCGGAGGUAGAGCACUGAAUUCCUAAGGGGGCGUCAAAGCUUACCAAGGGAUAUCAAACUCCGAAUGCCGCAUAAAUGAUGUACGGGAGUCAGACUGCACGAGAUAAGUUGGGCAGUCAAAAGGGAAAGAGCCCAGACCUACAGCUAAGGUCCCAAAGUGUGUGUUAAGUGGAAAAGGAUGUGGGAUUUCAGAGACAACUAGGAUGUUGGCUUAGAAGCAGCCACACAUUCAAAGAGUGCGUAAUAGCUCACUAGUCGAGAGGUCCUGCGCCGAAAAUGUCCGGGGCUGAAACACAACACCGAAGCUUAGGAAUGUAGAAAUACAUUGGUAGAGGAGCAUUCUUAAAGGAAUGAAGCAGUACCGGUAAGGAGCUGUGGACUUUUAAGAAGAGAGAAUGCCGGAAUGAGUAGCGAGAUGGAGGUGGGAAUCCUCCAGGCCGAAUAUCCAAGGUUUCCAGAGUAAAGCUGAUCUGCUCUGGGUAAGUCGGGGCCUAAGGUAAGGCUGAGAAGCGUAGCCGAUGGACAACAGGUUGAGAUUCCUGUACCGCGUAUCAUCAGAACUGUGGGGACACAGAAGGACAGCACAUCCCGGGAAUGGAAAGACCGGGGCAAGCAGGGUAGGAGUUAAGCUGGCAAAUCCGCUUAACAAUCCGAAGCUGUGAUGCGGAGCGAAUUUAAGUAGCGAAGUGUGCGAUUCCGGCUGUCAAGAAAAGCCGCUAUUGUGUGAUACGUGCCCGUACCGUAAACCGACACAGGUAGAUGAGGAGAGAAUCCUAAGGCCGGCGGGAGAAGCAUUGUUAAGGAACUCGGCAAAAUGACCCUGUAACUUCGGGAGAAAGGGUGCCUGGGAAACCAGGCCGCAGAGAAUAGGCUCAAGCAACUGUUUAGCAAAAACACAGGUCUAUGCAAAACCGUAAGGUGAGGUAUAUGGGCUGACGCCUGCCCGGUGCUGGAAGGUUAAGAGGAGGGGUUAGCGCAAGCGAAGCUCUGAAUUGAAGCCCCAGUAAACGGCGGCCGUAACUAUAACGGUCCUAAGGUAGCGAAAUUCCUUGUCGGGUAAGUUCC
Molecule: ribosomal RNA, 1948 nt
Filed under: human gut metagenome
Description: bacterial LSU rRNA
Rfam family: Bacterial large subunit ribosomal RNA
Source: RNAcentral